Non-coding RNA from Chrysemys picta bellii (western painted turtle), 5002 nucleotides. The record is from RefSeq and is a predicted model, not a curated record. Lineage: Eukaryota; Metazoa; Chordata; Testudines; Emydidae.
UCCUACUGCAUAGUAAAGUUUCAAAACUGUAUUAAGUCAAUGUUCAGUUGCAGACUUUUGAAAGACCAACCAUAACGUUUUGUUCAGAGUUACGAACAAUCUCUGUUUCUGAGGUGUUCAUAACUGAGAUUCUACUGUCUUUUAUAAGAAAGUAGUUCCUUGUAGCUGAGAAUCUCUGGCCAAGUUCUAACUCUAAGAGUACUAGAAUCAUAUAUGCUAAACUUUGCAGCAGCUAAUAACUGCAGCCUGGGUAUUCUGCAGCUGCAGAGUUUAUGCCGUAUCCACCCCUAGAAAGAGGGUGUGAUAUGAACCUAGUUUAAUAAAGAUGAAUCCAUUCCCAGUCCAAAAAUACUCAAUUGUCUUAAGUGUAAAAACCCCAAACCAUUUUCUGCUCCUUUGUGGCAGUGUAAAGCUCCAUAUGUCCCACCCAAAACCUCUAGGUUCCCCCUAGAAAUUUGUACAAUGCAAUUACUCAUUUGAAGAACAAAAUUUUAUGUCACAGUGAAAAUUUGCACCAAAAAUAAGGUGAAUUUAAUGUAAAAGUAGAUCAGGUUACUGAUUAUAUUGUCAUCUAAGAGAAUGAAAACCAUCAAUUUUCUAAUUUAACUCUGCAGCAUCAGAGUGUGUUAAAAAGCAGAGGUCCUUUUUUUCCCCAGAUUUUAUUUCUAGCUUGCCACAAGAAAUAUGUGAUCGUGACUCUAAACAUUUUUUACUCUGUUGGAUGGUUCCACUCAUUUCGUCUGUGGCUGCCUCAUUGGUAACCUGUCUUCUUUCCCUUUUUUUUUUUCUGCCACAAUGAAGCUUUUGACUCUCUUGCAUAUAAGGCAGAACAAUACAACUUCAUAGUAUUAUCUGCUUUAUAUUGAUUCUCAGAGAAGCGGAGUUGAUAGGAGAUGCCAAAGAAUUAUUGUCUUUGCCAUAUGUUAUUGCUCAGAUUCUUCAGUUGCCCUAUAUGCCCUGUUGGAACUCUGUCAAAUAGCAUACCAGCCUAUCCAGUGACAAAUGUGAUGUGCAGUGGACAUAUCCAUGCUUAUGAAGAGCUCCUGUCCUUAAACAUGAUGUGGUCUAGGUCAGGGUCUGAUUCUUAAGAAGCUCCAUUGACUUUUCAUCUGCUGCCCCCUAUUACUACUUGUGGUGUGUCUCAGCUUCCUCCUAUGCUCUAGGUUUCUUCUCUACUCUUUCUAGAGUGCCUGCCUUCUUUGGAAUCUUUUGGUCUUGGUUAGCCUGCAUCAGCUCUAUCAUACUCACUGUCUAUGGAGUUUGGGCCAACUUCAUUAGUAGGGCACCAAUAGCACUGUAUUUGUUCUCCAUCACUGCUAUGAUUGGCACCUUAAGAUGGACUGCUAGCUCUUCAUCCUUCUGGGCUUUCCCUCAGGUGGUCAUUUUGUUCCUGAGCAAUUGUUAAGGGGCAAAUUUUCUAGAAUUACCAGUUGUCUUCACCACCAGUACUGCCACCAUUCAUCAUUCGCUUGGGUUGUAAGCAAGUGAUGUCCAAGAGGGAUCUGGAUGUUGUAUGAUUAAAUUUACAUAAUCUAUAUGGGACCUUUUACUGUUUCCAGUUCUGGAGAUUUUAAGCUUUACCCCCCCCCCCAUCCCUGGCCCUCAGCAAGGUGGACAUUUGGUCCUCUUUUUGCUAAGAGCUCCCUGCUUUCUCGUUGUCUGACUAGCUGAGAACCCUGCUUUUAUACAAACCUUUUGAACACAGUCUCUGGUAGCUGCCAUUUACACAGGGCAGAGAGAAGCAGCUGCAGCGCUAAGAGUCAUUUUAAUUCUCACUAUAACUUAUUUUUCAGCUAUUAAGGACUGUUUUCCCUUUUCCCUUAUUUCAGGGGAAGUGUUACAUUCUCACAACAUAGUAUUUACUUUACUUUUAUUUGCACUGAUUACUUGUUUUAAGUUAGCAACAUACUCAGCACUGUACAGGACAAAAAUAAAGACAAUGCCUGUACUGAAGAGUAUAAUCUAAAAUAUAUUGGGCUACAAUGUGGGGAAUUUUUAAAUAAAAAGUUUGAUCAUAAUCAUUUUGAUCGUGCCGCAAAAUGUAGUGGGUACUUUGCUGUACGAACAGCCCUAGUCCUUGCUCCUAAGAAUAGUGAUGCAAUGAGUGCAUGUAUCAAAUAGUAGGAAGAUCUGGGGUAAGGAAGGAGAAGCAAAAAGAUCCUGAUUACACAGGUGAGGCACGUGCCUUGGUGGGUCAAUUAAGAAGAAAUGUAACCUAAUGAUCUUGUGCUCACCUGUAUUACACAGGCUACAAAGGAAUCUAAUAAAGAUGAAGUGAUGUCACUCACCACUGACUCACAAUAUAAGAAUUGUGCACAAAGCCUGAGAAACAGAUUGGGAAUGGAAGGGAAUAGGGAUAAAACAGCCAAUCCUGCAUUGCCAGAGACAACACUUUCAGCCUUCGACUGUCACAAAGUUGCAGCCCAGCACAACCACUCAGUCAGUCAAAACCAAGAAAACUUUCUGAUCUGCCUUCCUCACGUGUUACCAGAUUUCACGUUCUGCCGUCCUCCCAGUCUACAUUCUCACUUGUUGCUGUAACGCCUGACAUUCCCUGUUGCUAGAGGCCUGAACUGUCACAUGCAUGUGACAACAAUUAACAGCUAAUUUUAGUCCCUUGUGGCACAUGUGGUUGCACAAGGAGAACCUUUGUAGCCUUCAAUCUUGUCAUAAAUAUGGUGUAAUUCCUGGUUGGUUUGAUUACAAAUGGUGCCCUUUAAGCAGUCUUGCAUGUUCUUGGAAAUAUGGUGGUGAUCAACUCUGACUAUUAACAGGUUCUUAAACUGAGUUCAUCACCAUAGCAUCCAAGCAUCCUGUAACAAGACAUCUUGAAGGCUUCUGUGCUCCAACCUCUGGCAUCUCAUUGACCACAUUAUCAUCAGGAGAAGAGACAGACAGGAUGUUUGAAUGACAAAGGCCAUGAGAAGUGCAGAAUGUUGAGGUGAUCACAGGCUUAUAGUCUCAAAGCUGAAUAUCCGGCUACAUCCUAGUAGGCAACCACCAGGUGGUAAGGCAUCCAAAAAGCUUAAUGUCUCCUAUAGACUGAAACAGGAGAAUGUGGAACAGAUUUUUCUUGAACUGCGCAGCCAACUUGUAACAAUUGAUGCAAACUCUAAUAACAAGGAAAAUUGGACAUCCUUUAGAGAGACUGUGUACUUGGCUGCAUCCAAUACCCUCGGUUCCAUCACAUGUGAACAUCAAACUUGGCUUGAUGAAAAUGAUACUGACGUAGUGAGACUGUUGAAUGAGAAACAUUUGACUCCAGAAGGCCUGUUUAGGAGACGCACUUCAACAUCUAAGAGGGUAGCCUUCAACAACAUCAAGAGGACUGUCCAACGUAAACUUAGAGAGAUGCAAAACUCAUGGCUGAGUAACAAGGCAGAUGAGAUUCAAUCCUACAGACAGAAAUGACGUGAAAUACUUCUAUGAUGCUCUGAGGACAAUCUACGGGCCAUGGUCAUUGGGAACAUCUCCAGUACUGAUUGAUUAGUGUGGUACCAUCAGCACUGAUAAAGAAAAGAUGCUGCAAAGGUGAGCCGAACACUUUAACCACAUCCUCUAUAAAUAAUAAUCUAUUAGUGAGGAGGCAAUUGAUUGCCCCAGAUCAAUAUCAACAUACCUCUUGCUGAUCUCCCAAUGCUGAUUGAAACUGUGAAAGUGAUUGAGCAGAUGCUAUACCAGCAGAAGUCUAAAAGGCCAGAGGCUCACACAUGACUCUGAAAUUGACUGAAUUUUUCCAAUCAAUGUGGAGUCAAGGAACUAUAUCCCAGGAGUACAAGGAUGCAUCCAUCGUCCACUUGUAUAAACAGAAAGACAAUAGACAAUCCUAUAACCACUAUUGGGGCAUCUCACUGUUGUCAGUAGCCAGCAAAAUUCUCUUCAGAAUUCUGCUGAAUUGCCUUGUGCAAUACAUUGAAGUGUUCCUGCCUGAGAGUCAGCGUGGCUUCAGGAAAGGAUGCAGGACUAUAGAUAUGGUAUUUGCAGCUUGUCAACUUCAGGAGAGAUGCCAGGAACAGAACUCCAACCUGUACAUGACUUUCAUUGACCUGACAAAAGCAUUUGAUACAGUCAGUCAGGAGGGCCUUUGGAAGAACAUGGCAAAAUUUGGUUGCCCAGAGAAAUUCAUCGCAGUGGUUUGGCAAUUCCAUGAUGGCAUUCUCGCUCGCAUUGUGAACGGUGGUGAGUCAUCUGAACCAUUCCCAGUCACCAAUUCAGUCAAGUAGGGCUGCGUGUUGGCCUCAACUGUCUUCAGUAUGAUGCUUUCUGCCAUGCUUACAGAUGCCUUUCAUGACUGUGACACUAGGAUUGGCAUCAGAUACCGGACUAAUGGCAAACUAGUCAAUUUGAGGAGACUACAGGCAAAGACAAAUGUAGAGGAAGUGACUGUUGGUGAUCUUCUGUUUGCUGAUGACUGUUCCCUGAAUGCCAAAUCUGAGUCCAACCUGCGCUGGAGUAUGGACUAUUUCUCCACUCCUGACAACUUUGGUCUCUCAAUUAUCAGGAAGCCAGAAGUGAUGUGUUUUGGCCUGCACCUUACGUAGAGCCUACUAUCACUAUGAAUGGUCAAACCCUCCAGGCAGUGAAGUAGGUGAACUUGUCCAACAGUACACCGUCAUGUGCACUUCACAAUGAUGAUGAAACCAAUGCCAGAAUUGCCAAAGCAAGUGUGGCCUUUGGCAGACUACGUGUAAUUGUGUGGGAGUGUAGAGGCAAUAGUCAACAAACAAAUCUGAAAGUCUACAAAGACAUUGCAUUGCCAACUCUGAUGUAAAACCUGGAUGGUGUACAGAUGCCAGUCCUGUGAAGCUGAAUCACUUUCACAUGGUCUGUUUGAAGAAACUGAUGAGGAUAAGACUGCAAGACAAGGCUCUAGAUACUGAGGUUUUCAUGUGGGCAUGCAUUCCAAGCAUCCAUACUCUGAUGAAAUCACAGAUGAGGUGGUGAGGUCAUGUCACCAGAAGUCAGAUGAGUGACUGCCAAAGAAGGUGUGUGUGGUGUGUUU